UGGGGAAUAUUGCACAAUGGGCGAAAGCCUGAUGCAGCAACGCCGCGUGAGUGAUGAAGGCCUUCGGGUUGUAAAGCUCUGUCUUUUGGGACGAUAAUGACGGUACCAAAGGAGGAAGCCACGGCUAACUACGUGCCAGCAGCCGCGGUAAUACGUAGGUGGCAAGCGUUGUCCGGAUUUACUGGGCGUAAAGGAUGCGUAGGCGGAUUUUUAAGUGAGAUGUGAAAACCCUAAGCUUAACUUGGGGACUGCAUUUCAUACUGGAAAUCUAGAGUGCGGGAGAGGAGAAUGGAAUUCCUAGUGUAGCGGUGAAAUGCGUAGAGAUUAGGAAGAACACCAGUGGCGAAGGCGAUUCUCUGGACCGUAACUGACGCUGAGGCAUGAAAGCGUGGGUAGCAAACAGGAUUAGAUACCCUGGUAGUCCACGCCGUAAACGAUGAGUACUAGGUGUAGGAGGUAUCGACCCCUUCUGUGCCGCAGUUAACACAAUAAGUACUCCGCCUGGGAAGUACGAUCGCAAGAUUAAAAACUCAAAGGAAUUGACGGGGGUCAUAGCUGUUUUCC
This 564-nucleotide ribosomal RNA is filed under the name uncultured bacterium. Its description in RNAcentral is "partial 16S ribosomal RNA". It matches the Rfam family "Bacterial small subunit ribosomal RNA", at positions 355 to 938 of the family's 1533-position model. The record is from RNAcentral.